CCAGGAAUAAACAAAAUUAUGUGUGGGGGCGGUGGCGGGGAGGGGCUGGACGCAGUUGCUCAGAAAGGACAGGCAGGUUACCUUUUUAUUUUUCGGACGAAGAGCUGCAAGGUUUUGAGGUCUAACAAAGAUUGGAAGGGCGGCCUGGAUAGUAGGUUUAAUCUCAGUGGGCAAAGAAGUCUCCUUUGCAAAGGUGAGCCGUCCAGAGUCAGCUGAGAUGGGCAGCUAUAGAAAUCAAAUAAAUAACAACAAAAAUAAAACAAAUAAAUAUGGGGUUCUUUGAACAGGUGCAAUCCUCACACACAUUAAAAAUGGAAUAUGUAU
Molecule: non-coding RNA, 324 nt
Organism: Notechis scutatus (mainland tiger snake)
Lineage: Eukaryota; Metazoa; Chordata; Lepidosauria; Squamata; Elapidae
Source: RefSeq, a predicted model, not a curated record